Molecule: long non-coding RNA, 2520 nt
Filed under: Chrysemys picta bellii (western painted turtle)
Lineage: Eukaryota; Metazoa; Chordata; Testudines; Emydidae
Description: lncRNA (ENSCPBG00000016530.1)
Source: RNAcentral
AUCUGAUGAAGUGGGUUUUAGCCCACAAAAACUUAUACCCCCCAAAAUUUGUUAAUCUCUAAGGUGCCACAAGGACUCCUUGUUGUUUUUGCUGAGACAGACUAUCAGGGCUACUGCUCUGAAACCUAUAUGAUUAUUGUGAUUCUUCACAUAUCUGCACUUUAAGAGAAAGUAGGAUCUUUAUGUACAGUGCCUGGAUGAUGAUUUUAUAUUUUUUAAUACUUAAGAUUCAUUAGCUGUAACCUUCUUGAUAUGUCUUGUUACAUAUUGCAAUGGUUAUGUACCAUAGCAACCUUAACUAACACUUGAGAGAUAUUUCAAAGACAUGAUUUCAGCUUGAGAGCAGGAAUAAUAGAAAGAAGCCUUUUUUUUUUAUGCUUAAUUCCCCUCAAUUCCUCCCAAGAACAAAAACAAAUAUCUGGCUACCCAGCUUUUUUCUAUGGCUUCAAAUCCAGAAUGUAAUCUAAAAUAUGUGGGCUUAUUAUGCAGCUGAUCAGGUCAGUACAAAGACACCGAGUGUUAUAAAAAAGCUGUUGAUGUGGAUACAGAUGCAAUGAAACACAAGACACAGCAAUGUGGGUUAAAGGUGGAGGCCAUAGCUUUAUUAAACAUUAACUCAAAUAGAGUAAAAGCAUCCCAACUGCUACAGGAUUAGAGAGUUCCAAUGCUGUUUUCAAGAUAGCCACAGGUGUAACAGAAACCAUAAAGGAGGGACGGUCUAUUCCUGCUCUUUCCAUUAAGCCACUAGCUAAGGGCUUACCUAGAUAGCGAAUGUCCCAGUCCUCUCAUUCACAUAACAUUAGGUCUUUAAUAUUAGGGAGCCCCAAGCUGCACAAGAUAUGGUGGCUGGAACCUCCAAGCCAACUGUACAGAGUCAGACACAGACUAGCAUCCAGCUGAAGUUAAGAGUCCUGUUCAGGGCCAAAUUAACCCAUUGGCUAAAAGCCUCCUAUUUUUAGGCUCUAAUGGUCAGGCAGGGGGUGCGGCCAGGGCCAACUGAAGUGCGGGGAAACGAGCUUGCUCAUGCAGCCCUGCUGGAGUUCAACUGCCAGCAGAAAAGGCAAAGCAGACCCCUGUGGCUUGGAAGCAGGGCCAGCUCCAGGCACCAGCAGAGCAAGCUGGUGCUUGGGGCAGCAGAUUCCAAGGGGCGGCAUUCCGGCCGCCCUUUUUUUUCCUUUUUCUUUUUGGUGUGCCGCUCAGGCCACCCUGUAGGGGGCGGCAGCCUGGAGGAGGGGAGCACCCUGCAGCAAACUCGACAGGGCAGCCCGCGUCCUUCCCUCCCAGCCUACCAGAGUGGCGCGGAGCCCUUCUCCCAGACCAGCUCCCUGCAUCCUGCCAGAGGGGAGGCGUUGAAGUGCCCAGACGGAGCCACCAGCCGGCUCCAGGAGACGCGGGAGCCCAGCACCGUGGCGGGAGGAUGUGCUGAGCCGCCCCCAGAGGUGGGGGCACUGCUCCCGCUUGGCCAGUUCCAAGAGCUGAAGGUGUUUUCACAUGUAUCACAGCAGAAUGGAAGAGGGUGAAGGUCAAAAGGUAAACUUCAUAUGUUGCAAUGCAUUUUCACAGGCUGAAUCAGUACCCAUGUGAUUUGUAGUGUUGUUCACACACUUUAAUGUAUAAGAGUGGAGGGAAACAACAUGGGGGGAAAAGAACUAGAGAAAAAUUAAUGCAAAAAAUUGCUCAAGGUGUUUCUGACAAUCUCUGUUUUGCUGGUGUUGUUCUUUAUCUUCCUUCUUAUUAUUUUACACUUAGAAGAGAAAUUAUCUUUUUUUUUCCUUUGUGGAAGAAGUGAAGUGGGUCUGGAAGAAAAUUUACAGGAUAGGAGGACCAGACAAUUGCUAGUGUAAAAGUGAAAGAAUGGAGAUAAUGAAAGAAGAAAAAUUAGGAGAAAAGCAAAUCAUGAAAUGCACACACUAAGUCUUCAGCUUAUGGUAUAGCAUUGAUAUGCAUCAAUAGAAACAGGAGCAUCUGUAUUAUAACAAGUACUAGAUCUUCUCUUUGUAAUGAGAGCUAGAGGGUAAGAGUAAUCCCAGUCUUAACAAGAUUCCACUUCCAGAUCUUAAACUAUAAGUAUGUUUCAGACCUCACAACAGCUUUAUGUUGGUGUAACUCAAUUAACAUAAUUGGUGUUGUUCCUGAUUUAUACUAGUGUGAUGUCAGAAUCAGACCCAUCUUGUUUGCUACUCUGAGCAUGCCACAUAUGUUUUGGAAAAACUGAAUGUUGUUAAAAUGAUUGCCAUGUUCCACCUCAGAGAUGGCUGUAUUUCAAUGGUGGCUGGCGUGAUUAAGCCUAAUCCCGAAUCUCUUCCGCAGGCAAAAUUUCCAUUGACUUCACAUGAGUUCUUACCUGAGUCAGGAGUUCAGAAUUAGAUUUUAUAAUUUGUAAAUUGCUAUAGGUCAAUACAUGUAUAAAGCAGUAAUAGUAGUAAUAAUAGUACUCAAAUCACUUGUUCCCUUAAUGAGCCCACACCGUGAAUUCCUGUUGUUUGUGAAUGGGCUUUUUUAUGGCAUUUGUCACCAUCA